CCUACGGGGUGCAGCAGUCGAGAAUCAUUCACAAUGGGGGAAACCCUGAUGGUGCGACGCCGCGUGGGGGAAUGAAGGUCUUCGGAUUGUAAACCCCUGUCAUGUGGGAGCAAAUUAAAAAGAUAGUACCACAAGAGGAAGAGCCGGCUAACUCUGUGCCAGCAGCCGCGGUAAUACAGAGGUCUCAAGCGUUGUUCGGAAUCACUGGGCGUAACGCGGGCGUAGGCUGUUUCGUAAGUCGUGUGUGAAAGGCGCGGGCUCAACCCGCGGACGGCACAUGAUACUGCGAGACUAGAGUAAUGGAGGGGGAACCGGAAUUCUCGGUGUAGCAGUGAAAUGCGUAGAUAUCGAGAGGAACACUCGUGGCGAAGGCGGGUUCCUGGACAUUAACUGACGCUGAGGCACGAAGGCCAGGGGAGCGAAAGGGAUUAGAUACCCUAGUAGUC
Molecule: ribosomal RNA, 446 nt
Filed under: uncultured bacterium
Lineage: Bacteria
Description: partial 16S ribosomal RNA
Rfam family: Bacterial small subunit ribosomal RNA
Source: RNAcentral